UACGAAGGGGGCUAGCGUUGCUCGGAAUCACUGGGCGUAAAGGGUGCGUAGGCAGGUCUUUAAGUCAGGGGUGAAAUCCUGGAGCUCAACUCCAGAACUGCCUUUGAUACUGGGGAUCUCGAGUCCGGAAGAGGUGAGUGGAACUCCGAGUGUAGAGGUGAAAUUCGUAGAUAUUCGGAAGAACACCAGUGGCGAAGGCGGCUCACUGGUCCGGUACUGACGCUGAGGUGCGAAAGCGUGGGGAGCAAACAGG
RNAcentral lists this ribosomal RNA (253 nucleotides) under uncultured bacterium. RNAcentral's name for it is "partial 16S ribosomal RNA". It matches the Rfam family "Bacterial small subunit ribosomal RNA", at positions 524 to 776 of the family's 1533-position model. The record is from RNAcentral.